UACGUAGGGGGCUAGCGUUGUCCGGAAUCAUUGGGCGUAAAGAGCUCGUAGGCGGCUUGUCGCGUCGUCCGUGAAAACCUGCAGCUCAACUGCAGGCUUGCGGUCGAUACGGGCAGGCUGGAGUUCGGUAGGGGAGACUGGAAUUCCUGGUGUAGCGGUGAAAUGCGCAGAUAUCGUAAGGAAGACCAGUGGCGAAGGCGGGUCUCUGGACAGUUCCUGACGCUGAGGCACGAAGGCCAGGGGAGCAAACGGG
Molecule: ribosomal RNA, 253 nt
Filed under: uncultured bacterium
Lineage: Bacteria
Description: partial 16S ribosomal RNA
Rfam family: Bacterial small subunit ribosomal RNA
Source: RNAcentral